AAUCAACGCUGGCGGCGUGCCUAACACAUGCCAGUCGAACGCGAAAGCCCCGCAAGGGGUAAGUAGAGUGGCAAACGGGUGAGUAACACGUGGGUGACCUGCCUUCGAGUGGGGGAUAACGUCCCGAAAGGGACGCUAAUACCGCAUGACAUCCUGCUUUUGAAAAAGCGGAGAUCAAAGCUGGGGAUCGCAAGACCUAGCGCUUGAAGAGGGGCUCGCGCCUGAUUAGCUAGUUGGUGAGGUAACGGCUCACCAAGGCGACGAUCAGUAUCCGGCCUGAGAGGGCGGACGGACACACUGGGACUGAGACACGGCCCAGACUCCUACGGGAGGCAGCAGUGGGGAAUUGUUCGCAAUGGGCGCAAGCCUGACGACGCAACGCCGCGUGGAGGACGAAGAUCUUCGGGUCGUAAACUCCUGUCGAGCGGGACGAACGCUUCGCGGAUGAAUAAUCCGCGGAAUUGACGGUACCGCUAAAGGAAGCCCCGGCUAACUCCGUG
Molecule: ribosomal RNA, 500 nt
Filed under: uncultured bacterium
Lineage: Bacteria
Description: partial 16S ribosomal RNA
Rfam family: Bacterial small subunit ribosomal RNA
Source: RNAcentral